This 459-nucleotide ribosomal RNA is filed under the name uncultured bacterium. RNAcentral describes it as "partial 16S ribosomal RNA". It matches the Rfam family "Bacterial small subunit ribosomal RNA", at positions 338 to 795 of the family's 1533-position model. The record is from RNAcentral.
CCUACGGGAGGCAGCAGUGAGGAAUAUUGGUCAAUGGUCGGGAGACUGAACCAGCCAAGCCGCGUGAGGGAGGAAGGUACAGAGUAUCGUAAACCUCUUUUGUCAGGGAACAAAGACUGGGACGCGUCCCCGGAUGAGUGUACCUGAAGAAAAAGCAUCGGCUAACUCCGUGCCAGCAGCCGCGGUAAUACGGAGGAUGCGAGCGGUAUCCGGAUUUAUGGGGUUUAAAGGGUGCGCCGGAGGUCUGGUAAGUCAGCGGUCAAAGCCCGGGGCUCAACCCCGUCCCGCCGUUGAAACUGGCAGUCUCGAGUUGGAGAGAAGUAUGCGGAAUGCGCGGUGUAGCGGUGAAAUGCAUAGAUAUCGCGCAGAACUCCGAUUGCGAAGGCAGCAUGCCGGCUCCACACUGACGCUGAGGCACGAAAGCGUGGGUAUCGAACAGGAUUAGAUACCCGAGUAGUC